Molecule: ribosomal RNA, 301 nt
Filed under: uncultured bacterium
Lineage: Bacteria
Description: partial 16S ribosomal RNA
Rfam family: Bacterial small subunit ribosomal RNA
Source: RNAcentral
CAGCAGCCGCGGUAAUACAGAGGGUGCAAGCGUUAAUCGGAAUUACUGGGCGUAAAGCGCACGCAGGCGGUCUGUCAAGUCAGAUGUGAAAUCCCCGGGCUUAACCUGGGAACUGCAUUUGAAACUGGCAGGCUAGAGUCUUGUAGAGGGGGGUAGAAUUCCAGGUGUAGCGGUGAAAUGCGUAGAGAUCUGGAGGAAUACCGGUGGCGAAGGCGGCCCCCUGGACAAAGACUGACGCUCAGGUGCGAAAGCGUGGGGAGCAAACAGGAUUAGAUACCCUGUAGUCCCUGUCUCUUAUACC